RNAcentral lists this long non-coding RNA (307 nucleotides) under Lathyrus oleraceus (garden pea). RNAcentral's name for it is "Pisum sativum (pea) long non-coding RNA (PSAT_LNC003957)". Lineage: Eukaryota; Viridiplantae; Streptophyta; Magnoliopsida; Fabales; Fabaceae. The record is from RNAcentral.
AUGUUGUUGUUUGUCGGAGCUGGGUUGAUUUCGGCGGCAAUGAGAGGUUUUGAGGGAGUGAGGGUGAGUGAUGAUUGUCGCCGGCGUGUUGGAAGGAAAGAAGAGGGAGGCUGAAGAUGAGGUGUGAGAGAGUCACACGAAGAAGGAAGUUCCUUCAAUUUUUUACUUUCUUCAUUUUUAUUACCUUUUCCUCUUUUUAUUUUAUUUUCUGAGAUAUAGUAUAUGAGAAUGGCUAGCGGUUUAGUCUUUCCCAGUCCCCAUUGUUUCACUUUUUUAUACCUUUCAAGUAGGAUUUUCUAUUUUUAAU